GUCUACAGCCAUACCACCCUGAAUGCGCCCAAUCUUGUCUGAUCUCAGAAGCUAAGCAGGGUUGGACCAGGUUAGUACUUGGAUGGGAGGUAGAAUUUUUUCAGAGUGCUUUUAAUC
RNAcentral lists this ribosomal RNA (117 nucleotides) under Nannospalax galili (Upper Galilee mountains blind mole rat). The record is from RNAcentral. Lineage: Eukaryota; Metazoa; Chordata; Mammalia; Rodentia; Spalacidae.